UGCUCUCCUUCUGCGGCUCUGCACAGUUUGCAGCUGAAGGCUGGUGGCUUGUGCAACCAGCCU
This 63-nucleotide small RNA is filed under the name Mesocricetus auratus (golden hamster). RNAcentral's name for it is "Pseudomonas sRNA P26". It matches the Rfam family "Pseudomonas sRNA P26". Rfam says of the family: P26 is conserved across many Gammaproteobacteria species and appears to be consistently located between the DNA directed RNA polymerase (beta subunit) and 50S ribosomal protein L7/L12 genes. Lineage: Eukaryota; Metazoa; Chordata; Mammalia; Rodentia; Cricetidae. The record is from Rfam by way of RNAcentral.